AUGCGAUGGGGCGGGAGAGGGCGGGGACGGGGGGAACUAUUUGCUCGCAGCUCCGAGGCUUUGCCGGGCUCCUGGUGGGAAGGAGGAGAAAGGCUCCCGCCCGUUAUACAACAGAGAUUGUUUAUCUCUGCGUUAGCGAUGUUUGCUUUGGAGCCGCUCCAGCCUCUUACACACGCCAGCAAAACACGCCACGAAAACACCGAGCUCCCGCAGGCGGCCGGGCCGCACCUCAGCGCACCCGGCUGCGGCCCCGUCCCGCUGCGGUGCCCGCUCGGCGCCGAGCGCCGGCUGCCCCGGCCCCCCAACCCCGGCCCGGCCUUGGCCCGCGGGCUCCCCCCGCUGCCAGAAAAGUGCAUCUGCCGCAGCGUCCCUUGCCCGUCGAACCGUCUAUCAGAAAACGCGUGCAUCAAGAAAACACGCGUCGGCAAACAGGAUCUCUGUCGGCAAAUACCAAGAGCAGGGGGGCGAGGGAACGAGCCGAGGCGGAGCUGUGUUCCCAACCCACGUUCCCCAAAGGGCGCUGCUACUCCUGAGGGAUCUGGUCCCUCAGCGUCAGCCCGGGCCCACGAGGCGGCAGCGGUGGUUCGGGGCUGUGCGGGAUCACGGCUGUCAUUAACCUCGACGCGGGGACACGGAGGGGCCGGGGCACGGCGGGGAAGAGGAGCGCUGCGCGGCACGGCGCUUCCAGCCCCAAAGCCCGCGUGGCGGGGGGCAGGUCGCGCUGACGGAUGGCCACGAAGGCGGCCCGCAGCCGGGCCCGCUGACUCAUUUUUGGCCGCCUGGGGAGGUGCAGCACCUCUCGCCUCCGCCACUCUGUUCCCUGGGGUUUUCCCUCUCCCAUUGCUCGAGCAGGAGCUGAAUUACCAAAAGCGCUCAUCACGUGGCCCUGAGAGUGCAGACCCAGUUUCAUUUACUGUAAGUGCACGGGCUCGAAAAUACUCCGGUUUCCCGCAGAACAGAAGAGCUGCACACUGCCCGGAGACGCAGGAGGAAAGGGAUCUGCACCACGUUUUGGAUCCCCGCAUCCCACUCACCUGA
Molecule: long non-coding RNA, 1038 nt
Filed under: Numida meleagris (helmeted guineafowl)
Lineage: Eukaryota; Metazoa; Chordata; Aves; Galliformes; Numididae
Description: lncRNA (ENSNMEG00000012063.1)
Source: RNAcentral